Molecule: ribosomal RNA, 506 nt
Filed under: uncultured Desulfobulbus sp.
Lineage: Bacteria; Pseudomonadati; Thermodesulfobacteriota; Desulfobulbia; Desulfobulbales; Desulfobulbaceae
Description: bacterial SSU rRNA
Rfam family: Bacterial small subunit ribosomal RNA
Source: RNAcentral
GCCACGCCCGCUCAAGAAACUUAAUAGAAUUGACGGGGCCCGCACAAGCGGUGGAGUAUGUGGUUUAAUUCGAUGCAACGCGAAGAACCUUACCUGGUCUUGACAUCCCGGAGACCCUUAGGAAACUAGGGGGUGCUUCCAUCUGGAAGAAUCUGGAGACAGGUGCUGCAUGGCUGUCGUCAGCUCGUGUCGUGAGAUGUUGGGUUAAGUCCCGCAACGAGCGCAACCCUUGCCUUUAGUUGCCAGCAGUUCGGCUGGGCACUCUAAAGGGACUGCCGGUGUUAAACCGGAGGAAGGUGGGGAUGACGUCAAGUCCUCAUGGCCUUUAUGACCAGGGCUACACACGUACUACAAUGGCCGAUACAAAGGGCAGCGACACUGCGAGGUGAAGCCAAUCCCGUAAAAUCGGUCUCAGUCCGGAUUGGAGUCUGCAACUCGACUCCAUGAAGUUGGAAUCGCUAGUAAUCGUGGAUCAGCAUGCCACGGUGAAUACGUUCCCGGGCCUU